This 549-nucleotide long non-coding RNA is filed under the name Equus caballus (horse). RNAcentral's name for it is "lncRNA (ENSECAG00000045262.1)". Lineage: Eukaryota; Metazoa; Chordata; Mammalia; Perissodactyla; Equidae. The record is from RNAcentral.
GGGAGUUACAGGGCAUGUGCUCUCAGAUCUGUCUCUCCAAUUCAGGACUUGGGGGGAAAUUUAAGAGGUGAGGGAAAACAGGCUGGUAGGCGGAAAUGCUGGCAGGACAGGUUUGAUUGGUGGGCUUCAAGCAUUUAUGGUAAGGUUCUAAACCUUUACAAUGACAUUCUAAACUUUUAUGGCAAGGUAUUAAACAUUUAUGGUAAGGUAGGGAAGCCAUUUUAACACUGGCUCUUCCAGAAUGAUGGACCUCUUGCUUCUGAUAAGAGUCCAACUUUUAAGUUCCAGCCAUGUCCCGGUCAUUUGUUUCCAUGAGGAGGAGGAUCUUUGGUUCCAUGGUCAUUUCAGGUCAAGAUUUCUUCUUCCCAUGCUCUGGAUGGGCUCCACAAAUGGAAGGAUGAAAGAGUGAAAGAAGAGAGGAAGCUGACUAUUUGUCAUCUGUCUUGGUCUUGGACAUCAUCUCAUCCUGAUCAUCAGGCGGUGGCUGCAUCUCCUUCAAGACACCAGCUUCCAGUCACAUGACUCUGACCCCUGAGUUCCCAUAGCAUU